Molecule: microRNA precursor, 60 nt
Filed under: Cordylochernes scorpioides
Lineage: Eukaryota; Metazoa; Arthropoda; Arachnida; Pseudoscorpiones; Chernetidae
Source: RNAcentral
CACCGAGGAGAGGGAGACUUCUUAGCAGAGAAGCUGUGAAGUUUUCCUACCCUCGGUGAU